GCAAGUCGAACGGCAGCAUGAUCUAGCUUGCUAGAUUGAUGGCGAGUGGCGAACGGGUGAGUAAUACAUCGGAACGUGCCCUGUAGUGGGGGAUAACUAGUCGAAAGAUUAGCUAAUACCGCAUACGACCUGAGGGUGAAAGUGGGGGACCGCAAGGCCUCAUGCUAUAGGAGCGGCCGAUGUCUGAUUAGCUAGUUGGUGGGGUAAAGGCCCACCAAGGCGACGAUCAGUAGCUGGUCUGAGAGGACGAUCAGCCACACUGGGACUGAGACACGGCCCAGACUCCUACGGGAGGCAGCAGUGGGGAAUUUUGGACAAUGGGCGAAAGCCUGAUCCAGCAAUGCCGCGUGUGUGAAGAAGGCCUUCGGGUUGUAAAGCACUUUUGUCCGGAAAGAAAUGGCUCUGGUUAAUACCUGGGGUCGAUGACGGUACCGGAAGAAUAAGGACCGGCUAACUACGUGCCAGCAGCCGCGGUAAUACGUAGGGUCCAAGCGUUAAUCGGAAUUACUGGGCGUAAAGCGUGCGCAGGCGGUUGUGCAAGACCGAUGUGAAAUCCCCGAGCUUAACUUGGGAAUUGCAUUGGUGACUGCACGGCUAGAGUGUGUCAGAGGGGGGUAGAAUUCCACGUGUAGCAGUGAAAUGCGUAGAGAUGUGGAGGAAUACCGAUGGCGAAGGCAGCCCCCUGGGAUAACACUGACGCUCAUGCACGAAAGCGUGGGGAGCAAACAGGA
Molecule: ribosomal RNA, 731 nt
Filed under: uncultured microorganism
Description: bacterial SSU rRNA
Rfam family: Bacterial small subunit ribosomal RNA
Source: RNAcentral